GAUGAACGCUAGCGGCAGGCUUAACACAUGCAAGUCGAGGGGUAGAGGAAGCUUGCUUCCUUGAGACCGGCGCACGGGUGCGUAACGCGUAUACAAUCUACCUUUUACAGAGGGAUAGCCCCAGAGAAAUUUGGAUUAAUACCUCAUAGUAUUUUCGGAUCGCAUGAUUUGAUUAUUAAAGUCACAACGGCAAAAGAAUGAGCAUGCGUCCCAUUAGCUAGUUGGUAAGGUAACGGCUUACCAAGGCUACGAUGGGUAGGGGUCCUGAGAGGGAGAUCCCCCACACUGGUACUGAGACACGGACCAGACUCCUACGGGAGGCAGCAGUGAGGAAUAUUGGACAAUGGGCGCGAAGCCUGAUCCAGCCAUGCCGCGUGCAGGAUGACGGUCCUAUGGAUUGUAACUGUCUUUGUACGAGGAAGAAACACUACUUCGUGAAGUAGCUUGGAC
Molecule: ribosomal RNA, 450 nt
Filed under: uncultured bacterium
Lineage: Bacteria
Description: bacterial SSU rRNA
Rfam family: Bacterial small subunit ribosomal RNA
Source: RNAcentral